GGAUCAGGUCGAUCAGCGGCAGAUCAUGGCCCUGAUACUUCUUGGCGAUCGACACGACCAGGCGCAGGUUCGAGUUGAUCAUCCGCUCCUUGGCCUGGAGGUCGCCCUGCUCGAUCCG
This 118-nucleotide transfer RNA is filed under the name Actinomycetota bacterium. Its description in RNAcentral is "tRNA-OTHER". Lineage: Bacteria; Bacillati; Actinomycetota. The record is from RNAcentral.